Molecule: long non-coding RNA, 985 nt
Organism: Beta vulgaris subsp. vulgaris (sugar beet)
Lineage: Eukaryota; Viridiplantae; Streptophyta; Magnoliopsida; Caryophyllales; Amaranthaceae
Exons: 2
Source: RefSeq, a predicted model, not a curated record
AACCUCAACCCCUCUUAUUUGCUUUCUCUUACAUGUGCCUCCUCUUUCAUCCCCUAAAGACACCUCCUCCUUCCUCCUCCUUCAUGUCUCUCAGCCAAGAAGCCAACAAGCUAACUUAGGUGUCAAAUUUAAACUAAAUCAGUAAACCUCAACACCAUUUUCUGAUUUCAAUCAGAGAUUGUUGAGAUAUUCCAACAUCUCCAAACCCCAAUUACUCUCUCUCACUCGUGACUCUCUCGCCUCUUGUGUCGUGCUGGUCCCCGAAACGCUGCAGCCUUAACUCGCCGGAACCCCACUGUUUCCUCGCCGCUGAUGCGCGGUGUUGCAUCGUCGCAGCUGCUGUCAGAGUUGUUGUUGGUGCUGUUGUGGUUCCCUCCCCUGUUCGUUGUGCUCGACGCUGCUCUCGCAUCAUCCACGCCACCUUGCCGUCACUGGAGCUGCAGUGAGCCUUGCUCGUUUUUGGCCACGUGUUGUGGUGUUUCCCCGGCUCGUGUUCUUCCUUCUCGCGCUGAUUGUCGUUGCCGCUGUCGGAGUUAUUGUCGUUGUUGUUGAUGUUCUUUACCCCCUUCUCUUGGUCUUCUUCUUAUCGUCGUUGCUACUCUCUUCUGGUUGUUGUUGCCACUUCGAGUGUGUAGUCGUCGUCGAUGUUGCUGUGUUGAUUCGGUGCUGAUCGUGGCGGUGCUGCCAUCUAUCUUCUUCACGUAUUGUUUCCUUAAAUGCUUCAGGUUGAAGCUGUAAGUUAACUUGUUGCAAGUUGAGGCUAAUACAAGCUGGAGCACUAUUAUAGUUGUUAUCGAAGUGAGGACGCUUGACUUUGUAUAGUUAAUUAACAAUCUUUUGUUUUAAUUCUUUAUAUAUAAGAAUCGCUAGCUAGUGCUCAUGAUUCUCUAUUGGUUGUUGCUCCGCGAAAGCGUUGAGGCUGUUGGGCUUUGGAAAUAUUUUAUAAAUUAAGUUUGUAAACAAGUUUAAAUUAUUUCUCGCUUUA